AGCCCAGGGGCUGAGGCCAGGCUAGUAGUUCCCUGCCAGCUGUUAAAGAAGAAGGAGCUCUCUUACGGAAGGAGUAGAGUAUUUCCUGUUAUCUUUCAGACAAAAAUGGAUACAUUAAAAAUCCUUAGUCAUAUGGAAACUGCUUAAGCAUAUCACAACGGAGAUGCAAAAGGUGGAAACAAAGAAAGGGAAGCAAUUUAUGUGGUUCUUUGCAAGGAGACCUCGCCAUCCUUACCAUCAUGGCUUAUGACCGAUUAUAUUGCCAUCUACAAACCACUGCACUAUGAGACAGUGAUGAACAGGAGAGCUUGUCUGCAAAUGGCAGCCACUGCCUGGAGUGCUGCUAUUCUGUACUCUGCUCUGAACACUGGUAACACUUUUAGGCUGCCCUUCUGCCACUCCAACAUCAUCAACCACUUCUUCUGUGAAGUCCACCAGCUCCUUAGGAUCUCUUGCUCAGAGUUCUGUCCUCAACUUUUGUGAACCUCUUCCACCGGCUAGUACCCCUCAUUCUCUGCUUGAAAACCACACUGCUUCUUUCAAAAGCCAUAUAGUCACCCAGCGGAGUCCACCCUGCUCCUGAAAGGUUCUGCCUGCACUUGGACCCAGUGGCCAUCUUGCUUUAGGUUCUGCUGCUUGUGAGUAUGCUUCUGUCGGCACCACUGGAGUAAAGACAGAAGAGACACCAAGAUGAAGUGGAAGGAAGGAGGAGGGAACAUCAGAACCAUGUAAGCAGGAAACAAGGGGAAGGGACCUCUGCCAUGGAAAGGAGGCACUGGCAAAUACACAAAUGUACAUCUUGAACCAACUCACCUCACAAUGGAGUACUAAGGCACAUACUGGACAGCCCAGAGGUCAUACGUGUGAGGCCAUAGCAGAAGCGUUCAUGGUGCCACUGUGUCAGAUUCCAGUGAAUUUAGCAAAUUCUGCUAAAUACCUUGUCACAAGGACACAAAAGAAGAGAAGGACCUCACUUUGAAGGUGGAUAAAUGAAAAACAAAAGGAAAUUGUUGUGAGCUAACAUCACAAGAAUCUACUAUCUGCCAUGUCUGCAUUCAAACAUACAGAUCUCAGACCAGCUUCCUCAGUCAUCUACAGAUUCACUAAUGACGUCCCUAUUUACUGGAGUCUGUUGCUGUUGUAUUGAGGGACUGCCAAUGACUGUGAAGACUGAUAAAAGGGGAAAAAAUCUUCUCUAUAAAAAGACAAAAAUGACUCAUUCAAGCUGAAUGGGGAUGAUUCAUUUUUUCAAAAAUCUUGUGCAAUGGGUAAUAAAUUUUAUCUAUUUACUUCAAAAUAAUAAAAUACAACAGCUAUGCUUCAUAAUUUCUAAACCGUCUUACCUGAAAAAGCCAGUUUAUAUUUGAAGAAGUAUUUAAAAAGGGAAUGUGUAAAAACUUUCAAAUUAUUCUCCUUUAAAUUUCUAAAUUUCCUCUUACAUAAGUGGAUGUUACCUCAUUUUCGAAGAACUUUUCCCAUAAGGAAUACUAAAGAUGCUAAGGAAGGAUGUCUUAGAUUGACCGAUCUGUCUGUCUACCUACCUGUCUUGGGUUUUAACAUGACCCCUGUUGCCACAAUAUGUGAGGUAAGGAAGUCACUCGUUUACUGUGGCAUGGAGAAACUAAAUGAUUUGUCUAAGGUGACAUAGGUCAUCUGUAGCAGAUCAGAGAACUGAAUGCCACUUCUCCAGUAAGUUCCAUGCAUGACCACUUUAAUUUAAUCCUCUUUCAUUUAUUUUUUGUUGAAUUAGGGCAAUUACAAUUUUAGAGUUGAAUUGUGGUAGGUUUUUUCUUUCUUUCUGUUUGUUUAAGACACAGCUUAUUUGAAAGGUACCAGAUCCUCUGGUGCAAACCAAAGUAAUUCUUUUGAUUUCAAGGGAAUGAUAUGGUUUUUCUCCACCCUCAGAAGACCUGGCCUUUUUUACACAAGUAUUAAAUUGCCUGAUUAUACCUAUGUAAGCAAAACUCAUUACAAUGAUGGCUAAUUCUUGUGUGAGGCUAUAUCAGCGCUACAGUUUGGUGUGAAGAUUGAUCUAAACUAAACCAGUUUCUCAUUCAGAGUGAAUAUAAAUAUCUAUCAAUAUGAUGAUAAGCUACUGAGGCCAAAUGUAAUAUUUUUACUGUGAAUUUUAAGAAGCAAAGUGUAAUAUUCAAUUCAGUCAUUUCAGUGAUGGAAUGUAUACUUCUGUGUACUAUUCACAGCAUAACUGUAACUAAGAGAAGAGAAUCAACUUGAACAAUGUCAUAGGAUAAUGAUCUCCUGUGCCUAGAUAAAUGUCUCCACAGUUAGCAUAAAUAAAUGUCAAGCUGAAGCAGAAAGCAUUGAUCUUAGGGAAAAGUCCUAUUCCAAUGGCUCAAUUGUAACUGUGACAAAUGAUCUGUGUAAAUGUAAUCACUUUGUCUUAUGACAUCUUAUCGCUGAAUUUGGGUGACAGCUUUUCCAUCACACCAUUGCCAAUCUGAUGGUUUUGAACUGACUUUGAGACACCGUACAUUGUUCUGUGUUUUAAUCAUUCAGAGUUGACAGUCAUUCAGAGUUGUAAUCAUUCAGAGUUGACAAUCUUCAUUAAGUUAUAUAUACUUGAUUAAUCAUAAAUUUACCUUCAAUUGCCCUUUUGCAAAUAAAGAAAAUUACUUUUUA
This is a long non-coding RNA of Alligator mississippiensis (American alligator), 2640 nucleotides long. RefSeq lists it as uncharacterized. Lineage: Eukaryota; Metazoa; Chordata; Crocodylia; Alligatoridae. The record is from RefSeq and is a predicted model, not a curated record. The transcript is spliced from 6 exons.